UGACACAGCAAUUUCAGCUAUUCAUGGGGUUAGUUCUGGGAGUCUCUUUAUCAGUAGGAUAUUUGAUCUGGAAAGACUUUUCAACAAUCCUGUUUUUAAGAGUAGUCAGAAGAAAUGUUCUUAGCUUUCUUCAGCGCUAGGAGCAAUCCUGCCAUCCUGGGAGCAGUUAUCCUGCAUCCAAGAGGAGCCUUCACUUCUACUUUUUCCUCCUCGAAGGAGACUGUGGCCUGAUCUUCAUGGUUUUGGACCAAGUCCCUCGGCUGUACUCCUGGUGGAAAAAUUACAUCCUGUUCUGUGACUUUCAAAUCUCAAAUGCAGAUGUGUCAUUCCUUAGAAACAUCACAGGAGUUAUUUGCUCAGAGAGAAUCAAAUUUGUGUGAAUUCAUUAAGUCAAACAGGACCAUAAGUAUGCAUGAUGAACCAUAUGUUUGCCUAAAGAAGUGCUGAAUCAAGUGAACGAAUGUUUUCACAAAUAAAUAAAUGUGUACACAAAUGACAUCAUACACAUCAUUAACAGAGAUAGUAUGAAUCCCUUCUAAAAUCCAAUCCCUUUAUCUAUCCAUAAACUGGAGAACCAACUUAAUUAAACUGUAGUAAGUUACUUUCCACUGAAAAAUCAUUCAUGAAUACAUCCUCCUGCCACAGAUCUCAAAAAAAUGAGCCCUGAACUGUCACAUAAGCCUUUGAUUAGGAAAAGUAAAUACGCAUACACACUAAAACUAAAACAGACUUAGCUUUUUUAUAAGCUUUUACAGUCUCAUCAAAAAUACAGAAGCAACAGCUGGGAGUUUUAACAUAUGUCCUACUUACAGUGCACAGCUUCCAUUCAACUGUAGAACAGAUAUAAUUAUGUUCAUUAGGUUUUGUGAGAUUUAAUUAAUAUUUGUAUAAGUCUUCGAUAUACCUAGUUAUAAAUCAGGAUUAAGGUCAGAAGUUUUAAUUACUUCAUCUUCUCUCAUGGGUAUCUUUCCAUAUUAUUAAGAUAUUUUCCUUCUAUUCUGAUGAGUAUUUGAAAUCUAAAAGAUUAGGGGCUUCAGCACCUGUCUGCAGGAUACCCUCUCUAGUUUCAGCUGAUAUCACAAAUAUCACACUCAUUAAGCUACAAAUGUGCCCAGUUUUACUUUAAAAGAGCAGAUGUUUAAGAAUUGGGACUUUCCAAGCUCCAUGUGGCAUUAGCCCAACAGUAAAUUCUUUAUCUACAACUGUGAAAGCAUCAUGUUCCUGGGAGAAGUUAGAGGACAAGGGAAGUCUGUGGAAUGAAGCCUGAGAUGGAAAGAUGUAAAAAUGAUCAUACAUCUGUAAGUAAGUAUAUUUGCAAACUGGAAGGAAAUAUAACUAUCACUUAGUCCCACAACUCAUUUGCGUGUUAGCUUUUAUCUGUUUCUAGGAUUUGCUGUCAUAUUUUAUACAAGUAUAUGCAUUUUGGAGACUGGUUGUGUUCACGUUCAGGUUGUUGUUAAGUACAGGAACAUGACAGCAGCUGCAUUAGGUCAAGUCAAAGAUCCAUAUCAUUAGCACUGUCUCACACUGCCUAGAGAAAGCAGAUGUCCAGAAAAUAAUGCAAGACAGGGCAAGCAUAUUGGAUACUUCCCUCUGAGAGCCUCUAGCCACUUGCAAUGCUGAGCCAGACAUCAUUUCUAUGUGUUUAGUAAUCCUUGAUGGACAUUUUCUUCUUCAUCUUCAAUGUGUCUGGUCAAUUUCAAACAAUGCAAAAUUUCCCUGAACAUUGGAGGCUGCAAAGAUUGAACUACUGUCACACUCUAACAGGUGAGACCCCUGUUUUACUUCAGUGGUAGAAGUAGAGUGGUUUAGACUUUAAAUUACUCUAAGAAAGCAAUUAUCUGCUUCUAUAUUGAAGGCCAUAAAAUAAUUAUUUCUAUGCAAAACUUACUGCACACAGAAUGUACAAAUAGAGCAACAGUAUUUUCAACAGUAUUUUUUCAUACUUAGAAUAGAUAUGUUAUUUUGAUUAGGAGCAUCUGCUAUCUGUAUGGUAUACUGGAUGCACUGGAACUUGAUAAUGUAUCACUGUAAUAGCAAUAGGUAUCAUCAGUGAUGUAUAGAUACUAUAUGAAGGAAGAAAAUUGGCAUGGCUCUAAAGGUUGAUGUAUCAAUUAUGUGUCAUCCCUAUGGAUGGAAAUUCCAUUCCUAUGUAAGAAUAUAAUAACAGUGCAAUGUGACCAGCGUGGGGAUGGUGACCAGGAACCUUGAAGGACAAAGUAGCACACAUGUUGAAGGCCUGAAAACUCAGGCCAGGAUUGCAGAACGUAAAGAAUAUCAAGGAGAAUGGAGAAAAAAAGUGUGAAAGCAAAAGAGCUAAAUGAAUUAAUCUUUUGCACUGUUGCUUAUGAAAAAAGGAAAAAGGAGCUUGAGGAAACUCUGACCAAAAGGGGAUAAAUUUGAGGAGUUUUCAGCUUGCGAUGUCCAUAGAACUUACUUAAGAAGAAAAUAGCAAAAGGAGCAGUAAUAUAUUCUGACAAUUAGGGAGGCCAAAUAAAGUUGUCUGGCACGAGGCCCAAAAUAGACAAAAGGAACACUGUUUCUCAGAAUAUAUAACAUAAUUUUGGAACUCACUGUUGCCCCACUUAGUAAAUGCAAAAUUAUUAAUGGGUUCACAAGGUAAUUAUUACAGCGAUAAAAGAUACUCACUGAAGGCUAUUAAGCAAAGUUGUACUGAUGCAAUCUCAAACUCAAGAAGUGUCUAAACCGUAAAUAGAUGAGAGUUGGCAGUAUGUACCACAAGAAUCGUCACUCUACACUUGCACCGUUUCCUAAGCACCUACUCAUGAUCAUCACUGAAGACAAGAUGGUGUGUUAGGUGGGUCUCUGGUCUGAUACAGUUCAGCUGCUCUUGUGUUCCAGGUACUCCAGCAAGAGGUAGAUGGUACCAUCAUUUUUGCAAUUAUAUUCUUUAUAAUAAAUUUGCUUUAUUAUAAAGAAAAAGAGGCUUCUUAUAUUUUUAUCUCCAAGAUUAAUCUGUGCAAGAAACUUCACAUAAUUAAUAAGAGAAGAUACAUGUUUCCACUCUGACGGGCUGUGAAUGUCAUAAUUUCUUUUGAAAAUAAGGAAUGUAUUGUACAUAGAAAAAGAAAAAGACAAUUAAGAGAGUGAUUAUUUCUGUUUGUACAGUAGUUAAAAAUUGCCACACAAAUAUUAUUUGUGAUCUUCAUUCAUACUGUGGUGGAAAGAUACAGCUGUUACAACAAAGCAGAUAAGUAUGGAGUGAAAUAGGAAACAUUUUCUGGGAAAAAAGUCAAAAUCUGUAUUAUGUAAACUGUAUUCUCUGAUGAGAUGAGCUUCUUUCUUCUUCCUCAGCCCUGUUUCAUUUUAUAGGAUUUUUUCAGUAUCUGUAGUCAAAAGAUGACUUUUUGUUUUAUGCAAACAGUAUGUAUUCUAGUAUGCAAGAUGCACAAAUAUUGGGCUGGUGUAUAUGAAUAUAGGAGACAUUUGUGUGUUUUGUGUUAAUGUAUGAAGUACUGAAAUGUUUCUACGGAGACUUUGAAGACAGAUUUC
This is a long non-coding RNA of Cygnus olor (mute swan), 3513 nucleotides long. RefSeq lists it as uncharacterized. The transcript is spliced from 3 exons. NCBI's taxonomy places the organism in Eukaryota, Metazoa, Chordata, Aves, Anseriformes, Anatidae. The record is from RefSeq and is a predicted model, not a curated record.